Molecule: ribosomal RNA, 482 nt
Filed under: uncultured bacterium
Lineage: Bacteria
Description: partial 16S ribosomal RNA
Rfam family: Bacterial small subunit ribosomal RNA
Source: RNAcentral
AUUGAACGCUGGCGGCAUGCCUUACACAUGCAAGUCGAACGGUAACAGGUCUUCGGAUGCUGACGAGUGGCGAACGGGUGAGUAAUACAUCGGAACGUGCCCGAUCGUGGGGGAUAACGAGGCGAAAGCUUUGCUAAUACCGCAUACGAUCUACGGAUGAAAGCGGGGGAUCUUCGGACCUCGCGCGGACGGAGCGGCCGAUGGUAGAUUAGGUAGUUGGUGGGAUAAAAGCUUACCAAGCCGACGAUCUGUAGCUGGUCUGAGAGGAUGAUCAGCCACACUGGGACUGAGACACGGCCCAGACUCCUACGGGAGGCAGCAGUGGGGAAUUUUGGACAAUGGGCGAAAGCCUGAUCCAGCCAUGCCGCGUGCAGGAUGAAGGCCUUCGGGUUGUAAACUGCUUUUGUACGGAACGAAAAGCCUCUUUCUAAUAAAGAGGGGUCAUGACGGUACCGUAAGAAUAAGCACCGGCUAACUACGUG